This 71-nucleotide transfer RNA is filed under the name Loxodonta africana (African savanna elephant). It matches the Rfam family "tRNA". Rfam says of the family: Transfer RNA (tRNA) molecules are approximately 80 nucleotides in length. Lineage: Eukaryota; Metazoa; Chordata; Mammalia; Proboscidea; Elephantidae. The record is from Rfam by way of RNAcentral.
GCAUUGGUGGUUCAAUGGUAGAAUUCUUGCCUUUCAUGUGGGAGACCCAGGGUCCAUCCCUGGCCAAUGCA